RNAcentral lists this ribosomal RNA (602 nucleotides) under Escherichia coli. RNAcentral's name for it is "partial 23S ribosomal RNA". It matches the Rfam family "Bacterial large subunit ribosomal RNA", at positions 2094 to 2695 of the family's 2925-position model. The record is from RNAcentral. Lineage: Bacteria; Pseudomonadati; Pseudomonadota; Gammaproteobacteria; Enterobacterales; Enterobacteriaceae.
UGAACCUUUACUAUAGCUUGACACUGAACAUUGAGCCUUGAUGUGUAGGAUAGGUGGGAGGCUUUGAAGUGUGGACGCCAGUCUGCAUGGAGCCGACCUUGAAAUACCACCCUUUAAUGUUUGAUGUUCUAACGUUGGCCCGUAAUCCGGGUUGCGGACAGUGUCUGGUGGGUAGUUUGACUGGGGCGGUCUCCUCCUAAAGAGUAACGGAGGAGCACGAAGGUUGGCUAAUCCUGGUCGGACAUCAGGAGGUUAGUGCAAUGGCAUAAGCCAGCUUGACUGCGAGCGUGACGGCGCGAGCAGGUGCGAAAGCAGGUCAUAGUGAUCCGGUGGUUCUGAAUGGAAGGGCCAUCGCUCAACGGAUAAAAGGUACUCCGGGGAUAACAGGCUGAUACCGCCCAAGAGUUCAUAUCGACGGCGGUGUUUGGCACCUCGAUGUCGGCUCAUCACAUCCUGGGGCUGAAGUAGGUCCCAAGGGUAUGGCUGUUCGCCAUUUAAAGUGGUACGCGAGCUGGGUUUAGAACGUCGUGAGACAGUUCGGUCCCUAUCUGCCGUGGGCGCUGGAGAACUGAGGGGGGCUGCUCCUAGUACGAGAGGACCGG